AGAGUUUGAUUCUGGCUCAGGAUGAACGCUGGCGGCGUGCCUAAUACAUGCAAGUCGAACGAGGGUGCUUGCACCCUAGUGGCGAACGGGUGAGUAACACGUAGGUAACCUGCCUUACAGUUUGGGAUACCCGAGGGAAACCUUGGCUAAUACCGAAUAACUGGCUCGGAGGCAUCUCCGAGUCCUAAAAGGGGCCUUUAAAGCCUCGCUGAAAGAUGGACCUGCGGCGCAUUAGCUAGUUGGUGAGAUAAUAGCCCACCAAGGCGAGGAUGCGUAGCCGAUCUGAGAGGAUGAACGGCCACACUGGAACUGAGACACGGUCCAGACUCCUACGGGAGGCAGCAGUAGGGAGUUUUCGGCAAUGGGGGAAACCCUGACCGAGCAACGCCGCGUGAACGAUGAAGGUCUUCGGAUUGUAAAGUUCUGUUGUAGGGGAAGAAUGAUACCUUGAGGAAAUGCUUGGUAUUUGACGGUACCUUAUUAGAAAGCCACGGCUAACUACGUGCCAGCCGCCGC
This 516-nucleotide ribosomal RNA is filed under the name uncultured bacterium. RNAcentral's name for it is "bacterial SSU rRNA". It matches the Rfam family "Bacterial small subunit ribosomal RNA", at positions 8 to 518 of the family's 1533-position model. The record is from RNAcentral.